GUAAUUGUGUGUGUUCCAGUGUUUGUAUGUAAAUAAAAUAAAUUAGGUCCAGGCACUCAGGAUUUCUGCAGGAAGGCAGGUUUAUUGAAACAAGUAAUUGUGUGUGUGUUUGUGUUCCAAUGUUUGUAUGUGUCAUUGUCUGUGUCAGUACGGAUCACUGUGUGUGUCAGUUUGUAUCAAUGUGUGUGGGGCAGUAUGGAUCAAUGUGUGUGUGGCAGUAUGGAUCAAUGUGUGUGGGGCAGUAUGGAUCAAUGUGUGUGGGGCAGUAUGGAUCAAUGUGUGCCAGUGUUUGUUAAUGAGUGUAUAUAUGUACCAGUAUUUGUAUGGGUCACUGUGUGUGUCACCGCUGAACAUGGAUGCGGGCAGCAGAGCGGGCGGUGAUCGCAGGGAGAAGGUACUCUGUUUACCGCACCUCCCCGCCGCUGACUGGUGUUCUCCAAUGAGGAGACUUGGUACUUCCAGGAGAUACUCAGGCAGUCUUUCCAUCGCCCCUGACGCAGGUGAAUCAUUGCGUGCAGAUAAACACGCGUCAGGCAUCUCAGCAUCAUGUUUAUACUUGUGUUUAAUUAAUCACACAGUGCACCUUUGAUUGCACAUAAUGCAGUUCACUUUGUUUGAUUCUGCCA
Pelobates cultripes (western spadefoot toad) is the source of this 626-nucleotide non-coding RNA. Lineage: Eukaryota; Metazoa; Chordata; Amphibia; Anura; Pelobatidae. The record is from the annotation of a GenBank genome assembly.